CACUACGUCGCCUCCCAAAUCGAAGGAGAACCCUAGCCGCCCCUCCUUCCUUCCCUACCUCAUCCCCGUCUCACCGCCGCCGGAUGGCGCCCAGGGGCAAAGCUAGGUCCAGCCCCAAGGAGGGCCAUGGCGGGGCACCCGGUUCCUGUCGUCUGGGUAAACGAGAGGGGCUUGCCGGCCGCGGAGGUGGCAGAUUGGCGGCGAACGUGAGCCCUCCUCACCGGCGGCAGCAUUUCUUCCAAUCCUCACGCUCUACGGACGACUCGCUGACCUCGCCCGCUUCAUGGUCGUCUGGCCGACCUUGACUGCCUCUCGAGUUCCAGCGUCUCGCUUCGGCAAGCUCCACCGCGUCCUCAUCAUCAACCCGUAUCCCCGACCUGGACUAUGCUUCUGUAGGUGAAGGUUCUUAAGUGUGAGCUCUUAACUUCUUCCCCACGCGUCCGCAUAUUGUCUCAGCACGGGAAAUCCGAUCGAGGAUAUAUUCAGUUCAUGAACUGCUAAAACAAAUACAUCUCAGGAGAGGAUGAUAACUACCCGGAAGUAAACCUGGGCAUAGUCCGGGCCGGGCCGGGUUUCGGAUCGGGCUUUAAAAAGCCCGAACGGGAAAACUCAAGCCUGAGCCAGGCCCGACCCGGUCGUCGGGCCUAACAAAUCGGGCCUGAACCUGACCCGAACAUGCGAAGCCCGGUUAUUACUGGUUUUGCUGCCACAACAUGCAAAAUUUGGUGUGUGUGCGAGGCCAUGGGUUUGUGAUAGGAUGUUGAAGAUCAUAACCUCUAAGAUGUAUGACUACUCAAUAGGAAAUGGAGAGUUCCACCGAGAGUGUGGGGGAAAUAUGCAUGCUACCAUCAGGAAAAGAGGAAACAAUCUAUAGCAUAUGAUCUUGAAGAGUGUAAAUAGUAGCUCUAUUUUGUUCUCCAAACAGAUCUCUUAGGAUAAACUCAUGUUGUCUACUGAAUCAUGUUGCAUUAAGAAGUAUGACACUGGAAUUAACAAAUGUAUUACUAAAUCUAA
This is a long non-coding RNA of Hordeum vulgare subsp. vulgare (domesticated barley), 1014 nucleotides long. RefSeq lists it as uncharacterized. Lineage: Eukaryota; Viridiplantae; Streptophyta; Magnoliopsida; Poales; Poaceae. The record is from RefSeq and is a predicted model, not a curated record. The transcript has 6 exons.